Rattus norvegicus (Norway rat) is the source of this 309-nucleotide non-coding RNA. NCBI's taxonomy places the organism in Eukaryota, Metazoa, Chordata, Mammalia, Rodentia, Muridae. The record is from RefSeq and is a predicted model, not a curated record.
CAGCGGGAAAGCCACCCAGGCCAGGAUGUAAGCAAAGCCAUAGGAGUAGUCGUUGUUGACAUGCCACUCACUGUGUCUCACUGUGUAGAUGGCCGCUGCACUCAUCACACACAGACCUGGAGGAGAAAGACAGCAGCACAGCAGCAUGGUAAGGCACCAGAAGAUAAGUAUUUGUCUACACAGCAAGUGGACUGCAGUCAGCUGCCACAUUAAGCUCUGGGGGUUUGCUGGACCUUGCCAGUGACUACUCAAAUCAGGCACAGCCGACAUGAUGUGGCUGACCUACCCAAUAAACCCUUAUUUUGUAAA